GACCUCUUCACUGGACAGGGAUAAGGUGCAGGAGAGACCUCUUCACUGGACCAGGAUAAAAAUCUGUGAAUCAAUCCGUUGUGGUGAUAUGGGUGAUGUGGGUGAUAUGGGUGAUGCCCUUUGAACUCCAGGAAAAGGUUUUCACACACAAGCUCUACAUUAAUGCAGCACCCGCCUGAAAAAUCUGUCCAGUUGACCCACAGAACUUCUGUCAAGAGAUAUAGCACCACAACAACUGCAGAACUUGAUGUUGUGUCCCACACAGACCAGAGGAACAGGGACUUGAGGCCAUGGCAGAGCAGGGGGAAGCCCGGUUGACAGGAGAGGAACCACGAACACCCAACACGCCAUCCCUGAACCACCGGGGGACAGUAGAGGAACCACGAACACCCAACACGCCAUCCCUGAACCACCGGGGGACAGUAGAGGAACCACGAACACCCAACACGCCAUCCCUGAACCACCGGGGGACAGUAGAGGAACCACGAACACCCAACACGCCAUCCCUGAACCACCGGGGGACAGGGGGGACUUUCGGGGAGGGUCAAGAUGUGGAGAAGGGAGAAGUCAUAACCAGAUCCAGGAGGGAGAAGAACGGUCGCUUCACCAACCCCUGGCCCACAUGGCUCCUCCUCUGACUCCCUGCUCCGGUUCUACCUACUAGAUAAGGACCACAGCAACGUACCCCGUUCCAAAGAGUCACUGCAUGUGGACCCAGAGGAGUCUGUGGAGAUUCAUAAGGACGUCAAGGCCAAACACUCCCUGGCUAUUCACUGGGGGACCUUCGCAUUAGCUCAUGAGUUUUACUUAGAGCCUCCAGUGAGACUCAGGGAGGCCA
Molecule: long non-coding RNA, 838 nt
Organism: Oncorhynchus gorbuscha (pink salmon)
Lineage: Eukaryota; Metazoa; Chordata; Actinopteri; Salmoniformes; Salmonidae
Exons: 5
Source: RefSeq, a predicted model, not a curated record